This 1241-nucleotide ribosomal RNA is filed under the name metagenome. RNAcentral's name for it is "bacterial LSU rRNA". It matches the Rfam family "Bacterial large subunit ribosomal RNA", at positions 1564 to 2815 of the family's 2925-position model. The record is from RNAcentral.
UGAAUACGAGAUGCUACGGCGUCGAAGCAGUCUAUGUCAUACUUCCAAGAAAAGCUUGCACUGUCAUAAACAAAUAAUGCCUGUACCAUAACCGACACAGGUGGGUAGGUAGAGUAUACUAAGGGGCGCGAGAUAACUCUCUCUAAGGAACUCGGCAAAAUGACUCCGUAACUUCGGGAGAAGGAGUGCCUUAUUUAUAAGGUUGCAAUAACAAGAUCCAAGCAACUGUUUACCAAAAACACAGGUCUCCGCUAAGUCGUAAGACGAUGUAUGGGGGCUGACGCCUGCCCAGUGCCAGAAGGUUAAAGAAGUUGGUUAGCAUCCGCGAAGCUGAUAACUGAAGCCCUGGUGAACGGCGGCCGUAACUAUAACGGUCCUAAGGUAGCGAAAUUCCUUGUCGGGUAAGUUCCGACCCGCACGAAAGGCGUAAUGAUUUGGAUACUGUCUCGGAGAGGGGCUCGGUGAAAUAGACUUGUCUGUGAAGAUGCGGACUACCUGCACCAGGACAGAAAGACCCUAUGAAGCUUUACUGUAACCUGAAAUUGAAAUUGGACUUUACUUGCGCAGUAUAGGUGGGAGGCGUUGAGAAUAUUCUUGCGGGAUUAUUGGAGCCAUCAGUGAGAUACCACUCUUGUAAUGUUAGAUUUCUAACUUUGUAUCAUUAUCUGGUCAAAGAGCAGUUUCAGGCGGGCAGUUUGACUGGGGCGGUCGCCUCCUAAACGGUAACGGAGGCGCACAAAGGUUUCCUCUGAACGGGUAGAAAUCGUAUCUAGAGUGUAAAGGCAUAAGGAAGCUUGACUGUGAGACCUACAAGUCGAGCAGGGACGAAAGUCGGUCUUAGUGAUCUGACGGUGCUGAGUGGAAAGGCCGUCACUCAACGGAUAAAAGUUACUCAAGGAUAACAGGCUGAUCUCCCCCAAGAGUUCACAUCGACGGGGAGGUUUGGCACCUCGAUGUCGGCUCAUCGCAUCCUGGGGCGGUAGUACGUCCCAAGGGUUGGGCUGUUCGCCCAUGAAAGCGGUACGCGAGCUGGGUUCAGAACGUCGUGAGACAGUUCGGUCCAUAUCCGGUGUAGGCGUUAGAAUAUUGAGAGGAGCCUUCUUUAGUACGAGAGGACCGAGAAGGACAUACCUCUGGUGUACCAGUUAUCGUGCCAACGGUAAACGCUGGGUAGCUAUGUGUGGAGUGGAUAACCGCUGAAAGCAUCUAAGUGGGAAGCCCACCUCAAGAUAAGUAUUCUC